UACGGGGGGGGCAAGCGUUGUUCGGAAUUACUGGGCGUAAAGGGCUCGUAGGUGGCCAACUAAGUCGGACGUGAAAUCCCUCAGCUUAACUGGGGAACUGCGUCCGAUACUGGAUGGCUUGAGUUUGGGAGAGGGAUGCGGAAUUCCAGGUGUAGCGGUGAAAUGCGUAGAUAUCUGGAGGAACACCGGUGGCGAAGGCGGCAUCCUGGCCUGUUCUUGACGCUGAGGCGCGAAAGCUAGGGGAGCAAACGGG
Molecule: ribosomal RNA, 253 nt
Filed under: uncultured bacterium
Lineage: Bacteria
Description: partial 16S ribosomal RNA
Rfam family: Bacterial small subunit ribosomal RNA
Source: RNAcentral